UUUUACAGCCAUACCACCUUGAAUACGCCCGAUCUCGGAAGCUAAGCAGGGUUGGGCUCGGUUAGUAUUUGGAUGGAAGACCACCUGAGAAUACAGAGUGCUGUAAGCU
This 109-nucleotide ribosomal RNA is filed under the name Erpetoichthys calabaricus (reedfish). Lineage: Eukaryota; Metazoa; Chordata; Cladistia; Polypteriformes; Polypteridae. The record is from RNAcentral.